Molecule: non-coding RNA, 25 nt
Filed under: Arabidopsis thaliana (thale cress)
Lineage: Eukaryota; Viridiplantae; Streptophyta; Magnoliopsida; Brassicales; Brassicaceae
Also listed under: 8 other names
Source: RNAcentral
UAAGGUAGCCAAAUGCCUCGUCAUC